UAAUUGCACGCAUUUGAAAUAUUAUACCAUCAGUUACUUGGCAUCAUUGCCGUAUUCAUCGUGAAGCUAUUGUCUCUAAGAAAAUACCAACUAAAAGAAGUUUUAGAUGAAGCUGUAAAAAUUGUGAACUUUAUAAAAGCCAAAUCAUUAAAUUCAAGACUUUUUGAACAACUUUGCAAGGACAUGGAUAGUGAAAAUUAUCAACUUCUAUUACAUUCUGAAAUUCGUUGGUUAUCUCGGG
Molecule: non-coding RNA, 241 nt
Organism: Cinara cedri
Lineage: Eukaryota; Metazoa; Arthropoda; Insecta; Hemiptera; Aphididae
Source: the annotation of a GenBank genome assembly